Long non-coding RNA from Anguilla anguilla (European eel), 1203 nucleotides. RefSeq lists it as uncharacterized. The transcript has 3 exons. Lineage: Eukaryota; Metazoa; Chordata; Actinopteri; Anguilliformes; Anguillidae. The record is from RefSeq and is a predicted model, not a curated record.
UGUUUAUGUUGUUACCGUUGAAAGCGUCUAUAAUUCUAUUUCCAGGCCAUGGCAGCCAUCUUAGGGUGGUGCCACAUGCAGAAGUAUCAAAUUUAGAGCCCAACUGAUAUAUCAGACGGCCGAUAUAUCGGGCCGAUAUUUGCAUUUUUGGACCAUAUCUGUAUCGGUAGUCAAAGACGAUAUGUGGCCAAUAUGUAGGACCGAUAAUUUUUUUUUUUUUUUUAACACUGACACAUGGGCGCUCCUAGCAGUCUAUCUAGUGUUUCUCACUGCCAACAACAUCAAUAAGGUUCAUGUGACCUGGAACCUUCACUCAGUCAGAGAGCAGCGCUGGAGGUAGACUGACUGACUGAAACUGACAAGGAAGAAUAAGAUGGUUGAAAAGCGACAGCGAAUGGGCAGUAAGGUGUGGGACUACUUCUGCAAAGAUGAUAUGACAGAAUCAGGCAGCAAGCACAACAAGAGGUGAAUAUCAAUGAAUGUCAACAACUGACAGCAGUAUGGGUCAAUGGACUGGGGCAGCAAGCAUAUCAUAAUGUUCAUGGUGCGCAAAUUGAGACUGUUGAUUCUUACAAAUAUUUACAUAUAUACUUCCCCCUUACCUCUCGACAUUAAUCAUGCUGAAGGUCAAUAACAAUUCCACAAGAUCUGAUUAUUUGAUUUUAGACACACCAUGUGUGAAAACCAAGUUUGGUCAGUAUUGUUUUAAAUUCUUUGCCCCUUUUAUCUGGAAUUCUUUUCAAGACGUACAAGCGCAUAAACUAACAUCCCUUGUCCUGUUAAAUAAUUAAAAGAUUUUUAUACCGAUUUUUCAAAUUCUGUAUGUAAAUGUUUUGAUUGAUUGUAUGCUGUCUGUUUUUUAACUGAACUGUAUCUGUCUGUUUCUAUGCCUGUAUGUGUUUCUUACCUAGUAUGUAUAUAGGUCUCACUUGAAAAAGAGAUUCCAAUCUCAAUGUGAUCACCUAUUUAAAUAAAGGAUAUAUAAUAAUGUGUUGUCAUUGGAAAUCCACUUGCAAAUAAGCAUUUUAUUGUUCUGUCUAUGCUUGUAUGCCAGUACAUAUGAGAACAAACAUCCUUGAACCUUAACAGAAAUAUUCCACCCUAGAAGACAAUUUGUACAGUGAAAAUCACAUACACCUGAUCAAUAACAAUACACCAUCCUGUAAACAUUGUUUUACAUUACAUGGUGCACAAUAUUCCACU